This 829-nucleotide ribosomal RNA is filed under the name uncultured bacterium. Its description in RNAcentral is "bacterial SSU rRNA". It matches the Rfam family "Bacterial small subunit ribosomal RNA", at positions 26 to 885 of the family's 1533-position model. The record is from RNAcentral.
AGAACGAACGCUGGCGGCAUNNNUNAUACAUGCAAGUCGAACGAGAAAGUCACUUCGGUGGCGAGUACAGUGGCGCACGGGUGAGUAACGCGUAGAUGAUCUACCCUUCAGUCUGGGACAACUCUUGGAAACGAGAGCUAAUACCGGAUAAAACCUUCGGGUUGAAAGAUUUAUCGCUGGGGGAUGAGUCUGCGUACCAUUAGCUUGUUGGUGGGGUAACGGCCUACCAAGGCGACGAUGGUUAGCGGGUCUGAGAGGACGAUCCGCCACACUGGAACUGAGACACGGUCCAGACUCCUACGGGAGGCAGCAGUAGGGAAUAUUGCGCAAUGGGGGCAACCCUGACGCAGCAAUGCCGCGUGAGUGAAGAAGGCCUUCGGGUCGUAAAGCUCUUUUAUGGGGGAAGAUGAUGACGGUACCCCAUGAAUAAGCACCGGCUAACUACGUGCCAGCAGCCGCGGUAAUACGUAGGGUGCGAGCGUUGUUCGGAAUUACUGGGCGUAAAGGGCGUGCAGGCGGAUUGGCAAGCCGGAGGUGAAAGCCCGGGGCUCAACCCCGGAGGGUCUUUCGGAACUGCCAGUCUUGAGAGGGUCAGGGGCCAGCGGAAUUCCUGGUGUAGAGGUGAAAUUCGUAGAGAUCAGGAGGAACACCGGCGGCGAAAGCGGCUGGCUGGGGCCACUCUGACGCUGAGGCGCGAAAGCGUGGGGAGCAAACAGGAUUAGAUACCCUGGUAGUCCACGCCGUAAACGAUGGGCACUAAGCGUCCGACGGGUUCGACCCUGUUGGGUGCUGCAGUUAACGCGUUAAGUGCCCCGCCUGGGGAGUACGG